CUCGCAGUAUACUUUUGUGUUUUGUUUAUUUUGAAAAUCAAAUCACAGGAUUAUACUGUGAG
Non-coding RNA from Drosophila virilis, 62 nucleotides. Lineage: Eukaryota; Metazoa; Arthropoda; Insecta; Diptera; Drosophilidae. The record is from Rfam.